GAUGAACGCUGGCGGCGUGCCUAAUACAUGCAAGUCGAGCGAACAGACGAGGAGCUUGCUCCUCUGACGUUAGCGGCGGACGGGUGAGUAACACGUGGAUAACCUACCUAUAAGACUGGGAUAACUUCGGGAAACCGGAGCUAAUACCGGAUAAUAUAUUGAACCGCAUGGUUCAAUAGUGAAAGACGGUUUUGCUGUCACUUAUAGAUGGAUCCGCGCCGCAUUAGCUAGUUGGUAAGGUAACGGCUUACCAAGGCAACGAUGCGUAGCCGACGUGAGAGGGUGAUCGGCCACACUGGAACUGAGACACGGUCCAGACUCCUACGGGAGGCAGCAGUAGGGAAUCGUCCGCAAUGGGCGAAAGCCUGACGGAGCAACGCCGCGUGAGUGAUGAAGGUCUUCGGAUCGUAAAACUCUGUUAUUAGGGAAGAACAAAUGUGUAAGUAACUAUGCACGUCUUGACGGUACCUAAUCAGAAAGCCACGGCUAACUACGUG
RNAcentral lists this ribosomal RNA (497 nucleotides) under uncultured bacterium. RNAcentral describes it as "partial 16S ribosomal RNA". It matches the Rfam family "Bacterial small subunit ribosomal RNA", at positions 28 to 507 of the family's 1533-position model. The record is from RNAcentral.